This 505-nucleotide ribosomal RNA is filed under the name uncultured bacterium. RNAcentral describes it as "bacterial SSU rRNA". It matches the Rfam family "Bacterial small subunit ribosomal RNA", at positions 791 to 1297 of the family's 1533-position model. The record is from RNAcentral.
UAGUCCACGCCGUAAACGAUGUCAACUAGCCGUUGGGAAUUUUACAUUCUUAGUGGCGUAGCUAACGCGCUAAGUUGACCGCCUGGGGAGUACGGACGCAAGUUUAAAACUCAAAUGAAUUGACGGGGGCCCGCACAAGCGGUGGAGCAUGUGGUUUAAUUCGAUGCAACGCGAAGAACCUUACCAAUCCUUGACAUCCAGAGAAUUUGCUAGAGAUAGCUUAGUGCCUUCGGGAACUCUGAGACAGGUGCUGCAUGACUGUCGUCAGCUCGUGUUGUGAAAUGUUGGGUUAAGUCCCGUAACGAGCGCAACCCUUGUCUUUAGUUGCCAUCAUUAAGUUGGGCACUAUAAAGAGACUGCCGGUGUCAAACCGGAGGAAGGUGGGGAUGACGUCAAGUCCUCAUGGCCUUUAUGAUCAGGGCUACACACGUACUACAAUGGCCGGUACAAAGGGCAGCCACAGGGCAACCUGGAGCGAAUCCCGUAAAACCGGUCUCAGUCCGGA